This 442-nucleotide ribosomal RNA is filed under the name uncultured bacterium. RNAcentral describes it as "partial 16S ribosomal RNA". It matches the Rfam family "Bacterial small subunit ribosomal RNA", at positions 338 to 795 of the family's 1533-position model. The record is from RNAcentral.
CCUACGGGAGGCAGCAGUGGGGAAUAUUGGGCAAUGGGCGCAAGCCUGACCCAGCAACGCCGCGUGAAGGAAGAAGGCCUUCGGGUUGUAAACUUCUUUUAAGAGGGAAGAGCAGAAGACGGUACCUCUUGAAUAAGCCACGGCUAACUACGUGCCAGCAGCCGCGGUAAUACGUAGGUGGCAAGCGUUGUCCGGAUUUACUGGGUGUAAAGGGCGUGCAGCCGGGAAGACAAGUCAGAUGUGAAAGCCCGCGGCUCAACCGCGGAACUGCAUUUGAAACUGUUUUUCUUGAGUACCGGAGAGGUCAUCGGAAUUCCUUGUGUAGCGGUGAAAUGCGUAGAUAUAAGGAAGAACACCAGUGGCGAAGGCGGAUGACUGGACGGCAACUGACGGUGAGGCGCGAAAGCGUGGGGAGCAAACAGGAUUAGAUACCCCUGUAGUC